GGCAGUUUGUCCGAGUGGUUAAGGAGGGCGACUUAAGAUCGUCUGGACGUAGUCCGCGUGGGUUCAAAUCCCACAGCUGCCA
Molecule: transfer RNA, 82 nt
Organism: Ichthyophthirius multifiliis
Lineage: Eukaryota; Ciliophora; Oligohymenophorea; Hymenostomatida
Rfam family: tRNA
About the family: Transfer RNA (tRNA) molecules are approximately 80 nucleotides in length. Their secondary structure includes four short double-helical elements and three loops (D, anti-codon, and T loops). Further hydrogen bonds mediate the characteristic L-shaped molecular structure. tRNAs have two regions of fundamental functional importance: the anti-codon, which is responsible for specific mRNA codon recognition, and the 3' end, to which the tRNAs corresponding amino acid is attached (by aminoacyl-tRNA synthetases). tRNAs cope with the degeneracy of the genetic code in two manners: having more than one tRNA (with a specific anti-codon) for a particular amino acid; and 'wobble' base-pairing, i.e. permitting non-standard base-pairing at the 3rd anti-codon position.
Source: Rfam